CUCAAGUUACUUGUUCACGAUUCAAUGUUCAGUCUUCAUUUCACGUUUCAAUAGGUGGUUGCUUGGUCAAAACCUCCUGAGCAGAAGAUGGUGCGAAAUAUAGCAAUUUUAUUUAUAGUCCAUAUAUGUAUUGUUCAGAAAGUCCUGUCAUCUGCUCAUCAGGAUUCUUCUGAAUCCAUUAAUCUCAAAUGGCCACCAAAAAUUAGGCCUCUUCUCGAACUGCGAGAUGCUGACUUCUCUCCAACUAAGUCUUCAUCUUCUGUUGGUCCUGUCACACCAUCGAUAGAACCAUCAUCGUCUAUUGGUCCAUUAGAACCCUCAGACUCAGUUCUCCCGUCUAUAGAACCAUCAUCGUCUGUUGGUCCAUUGGAACCCUCAGAAUCAGUUCUCCCGUCUAUAGAACCAUCAUCGUCUAUUGGUCCAUUGGAACCCUCAGAAUCAGUUCUCCCGUCUAUAAAACCAGCACCGUCUAUUGGUCCAUUGGAACCCUCAGAAUCAGUUCUCCCGUCUAUAGAACCAUCAUCGUCUAUUGGUCCAUUGGAGCCCUCAGAAUCAGUUCUCCCGUCUAUAGAACCAUCAUCGUCUAUUGGUCCAUUGGAACCUUCAGAAUCAGUUCUCCCGUCUAUAGAACCAUCAUCGUCUAUUGGUCCAUUGGAACCUUCAGAAUCAGUUCUCCCGUCUAUAGAACCAUCAUCGUCUAUUGGUCCAUUGGAACCCUCAGAAUCAGUUCUCCCGUCUAUAGAACCAUCAUCGUCUAUUGGUCCAUUGGAACCUUCAGAAUCAGUUCUCCGUCUAUAGAACCAUCAUCGUCUAUUGGUCCAUUGGAACCCUCAGAAUCAGUUCUCCCGUCUAUAGAACCAUCAUCGUCUAUUGGUCCAUUGGAACCCUCAGAAUCAGUUCUCCCGUCUAUAGAACCAUCAUCGUCUAUUGGUCCAUUGGAACCCUCACAAUCAGUUCCUCCGUCAACCCAGGUCGUUCACAAUAAUAACAUCCACAUCUACGAGGAUAAGAAACCAUGUUUAGUGGCCACACUUGCAAUAAAUUUUGAAGUUAUUUAUUCUUCUGAGGAGGGAGAAAAAAAAACAAACAUACCGUUAAAUUGUAAAGAAAAUUAUACAAUUGUGGAUGGAGACUGUAGUUUUCACGACGAUUAUGCUUAUUUUAAAAUCAAGUGGAACGAUGCCGGUAUAAACAUCAAUCCUAAACAUCAAUUUGAAAUGCAUUUCAAGCGUAAUUCAACAAAUUGGUCUGUACCAUCAAUCAAAGCUACAUUCGACACUGAUGAUAGUCUUCAUUUUGAUAAUCCUAAUGAAAAAGAAAUAAAAGUUGAAACUAACGGCUUUGGUAUAAUUGGUACUGUUGAUAAAGAUGUUAAUUAUAUUUGUCUUUCCCUUGUGACUUAUAAUAUAAGUACUAAAGUCAAAGCAGCAUUUCAAAACGUUGCCAUUCAACCAUUCUCAAAUGAUCCUCAACUAUCUUACGAAGGAAAACAUUGUUUGGAGGAUGCGCUACCUUAUGAAAACUUUGUCAAGAAUCAAGCCGACGGCGAUCGGAAAAAGAAUAGAAACAGCAAUACAGUACCUAUAGCUGUCGGAGCAGCACUUGGAGGAGUGGUACUUAUUGUGCUUGUUUCGUACAUCAUUGGUCGAAGUCGAUCCAAUCCCGGAUAUGAACGAGUUUUUUGAUCACAUCUUAUUGACUAAAAUGUCUUUUUCAAAUACAACGACAUCUUUGUGGGGAAUUUGUUGUUUUAAGUAAUAAUCAAUUGAUUAAAGGAUUGCACAAUUUAAGUUUAUUUUUCUUCCUAACACUCAACAUUAAAACUGAUUUAGUGUUAUGUAUGGUAAUCAGAAACUUCCGGGAAUGGUAUUUUCGUUAAAGUUACUCAUGUAUCUUGAUAUUAUCAAAAAAUAAAUAAAGUUAAAGUGAA
This is an RNA transcript of Xenia sp. Carnegie-2017, 1930 nucleotides long. It is a transcript of the gene named cell surface glycoprotein 1-like, with no coding region annotated. The record is from RefSeq and is a predicted model, not a curated record. NCBI's taxonomy places the organism in Eukaryota, Metazoa, Cnidaria, Anthozoa, Malacalcyonacea, Xeniidae. The transcript is spliced from 5 exons.